GGUCUUGCUAUCGGGGUCCGAUUUAGCCUGCUAGUCGCACGGGUUCAGACCCGUGGCGAAUAGCUCCGUAACACGUGGCCAAACUACCCUCCAGAGAGCCAUACCCUCGGGAAACUGAGGCUAAUAGCUCAUACGCGAGCCAGACUGGAACCGUCGGCUCGUCGAAACGCUCCGGCGCUGGAGGAUGUGGCUGCGGCCGAUUAGGUAGACGGUGGGGUAACGGCCUACCGUGCCGAUAAUCGGUACGGGUUGUGAGAGCAAGAGCCCGGAGACGGAAUCUGAGACAAGAUUCCGGGCCCUACGGGGCGCAGCAGGCGCGAAACCUCUACACUGCACGCGAGUGCGAUAGGGGGACCCCGAGUGCGAGGGCAUAUCGUCCUCGCUUUUGUGAACCGUAGUGAGGUUCACGAACAAGCGCUGGGCAAGACCAGUGCCAGCCGCCGCGGUAAUACCGGCAGCGCGAGUGAUGACCGAUCUUAUUGGGCCUAAAGCGUCCGUAGCCGGCCGCGCAAGUCCGUCGGGAAAUCCAACCGCUUAACGGUUGGGCGUCCGGCGGAAACUGCACGGCUUGGGGCCGGAAGACCUCAGGGGUACGUCCGGGGUAGGAGUGAAAUCCCGUAAUCCUGGACGGACCGCCGAUGGCGAAAGCACCUGAGGAAGACGGACCCGACGGUGAGGGACGAAAGCUGGGGUCUCGAACCGGAUUAGAUACCCGGGUAGUCCCAGUCGUAAACGAUGUCCGCUAGGUGUGUCCCCCACUACGAGUGGGUGACGUGCCGCAGGGAAGCCGCUAAGCGGACCGCCUGGGAAGUACGUCUGCAAGGAUGAAACUUAAAGGAAUUGGCGGGGGAGCACUACAACCGGAGGAGCCUGCGGUUUARUUGGACUCAACGCCGGACAUCUCACCAGCCCCGACUGAGGUAAUGACGGUCAGGUUGAUGACCUCAUCACGAGCCUCAGAGAGGAGGUGCAUGGCCGCCGUCAGCUCGUACCGUGAGGCGUCCUGUUAAGUCAGGCAACGAGCGAGACCCGCGUCCCUAAUUGCCAGCAACACCCUCGUGGUGGUUGGGUACAUUAGGGAGACUGCCGCCGCCAAGGCGGAGGAAGGAACGGGCAACGGUAGGUCAGUAUGCCCCGAAUGGACCGGGCAACACGCGGGCUACAAUGGUCAUGACAGAGGGACGCGACGCCGAGAGGCGAAGCUAAUCUCUAAACGUGAUCGUAGUUCGGAUUGCGGGCUGAAACUCGCCCGCAUGAAGCUGGAUUCGGUAGUAAUCGCGCCUCAGGAGCGCGCGGUGAAUACGUCCCUGCUCCUUGCACACACCGCCCGUCAAAGCACCCGAGUGGGGUCUGGAUGAGGCCUGGAUACCCAGGUCGAAUCUGGGCUCCGCAAGGGGGCUU
RNAcentral lists this ribosomal RNA (1401 nucleotides) under uncultured Haloferacaceae archaeon. Its description in RNAcentral is "bacterial SSU rRNA". The record is from RNAcentral. Lineage: Archaea; Methanobacteriati; Methanobacteriota; Halobacteria; Halobacteriales; Haloferacaceae.